UGCUUAUCCCGAUAUCCUCGCUAAUCAUUUUCUCCCGGCCACGCCUGCUCACCAUGGUGAUUUCUACGUGCAUGGUGGCCGAUUCCCAUGCUCCCUGACUUUCCCACAUGCCGAUUGUCACCGUGAUGUGAUAAAAGCCCUAUCCCUAUCUCUCGUAUACAAUGUUGUGGUUGCGAUAGGGCUGUGUUGUGUUAGUUUGCGAGGUGGUUUACACUUUUUGAGCUUAGUAGCCUUCUGAUGCUGGUUUUUGGCAAUGGUAAGAGGGUUUUUUAUGAUGACACGGGAGGAAGAAGUUGAUAGACACAAUCGUAGGGAAAAUAAAGGAGUAUAAAUAUAUAAGGGAACAUAUAAAAACAGUUAAGGGCCAGAUGGGUCCUCCAAGAAGAAGCCACAUGUCUUUUUUUGCAUUGCCAUGUGUUAGUUGGUUUGUUUUUAUGUAAUACACAAAACAUAAAAUAGCUCUAGAAUAAAUAAAAUAAACCAUAAUAAAUGGUUAGAAUGAAUAUAACUAGGAGGAUUUUCCGCGCAUUGCCACAGAUAUGAAGAAGAAAUAUAAAUAGGUUCGAAUAUUAAUCACUAAGAAUCAGAAGAUGUAUAUGUAUGGUGUUGGUAAUGCAGCAAUAUCUUAAAUAAAGACAUAAUGACAUGCAUUAGUCUCUACUACACAAAAUAUUUACUGAAACGGGCAAAACUGAUUAACCGAGACGGUUAUCAUAACCGCCUCGGACAAAAGGUCACAAUAAAUAGGACCUUUUCCGAGGCGGUUGUUUGCCCGCCUCGGUUAAACGCGUAGAAAAAAACAAAAAAAAAAGAAAACACGAGGAUAAGCCCGCUAAGCCCAUCCACGGGCCCGCAGAGCCCAUCCAUGGACCGCUGCCGCCAUUGCUAGCUAGAGGAGCGUUGCCGGCCUCACUCAUCGGAUCCGCCUCCCUACCACUGGAUCCAGCAGCCUCGCCGCCGGAUCUGGCCUGGCCUGCUGUGCAUCCGCCAUAGGUAAGUGGGCCCACCAGAGAUCCGGCCACCCUCCAUUGGAUCCAGCCACCAACGGCAUGGAUCCAGCCACCACGUAUGUAGUCGGAGGAGGAGAUGGGGGAGUAGGACGCGCGAUGCCGGUGUAGGAGCGCCGGGGAAGGAAGGAGCCUGCUGUGGAUCCAGCAGCCUCACCGCCGGGGAAGGAAGCUUUGCCACCGGAUCAUGCCCGCGCCUAUG
This 1209-nucleotide long non-coding RNA is filed under the name Sorghum bicolor (sorghum). RNAcentral describes it as "long non-coding RNA (SBIC_LNC013543)". The record is from RNAcentral. Lineage: Eukaryota; Viridiplantae; Streptophyta; Magnoliopsida; Poales; Poaceae.